AUCUUGCCCUGUCAUUACUAAUUGCUAUUAUACAACUACCGUUAUCUUUUUUUCAGAUUGCUUCUGGAGAAACUUUUUUUCGGGUUGGAUUGCUGGCGGAUGUCAGGAGGUAUAGGACGCCAGGUAGACCAAACUCUGGGUAGAUUGAGUGUGAAACAGGGGAGCGACGGUGAUUCAACCUCCCAAAUGUCAACCUUUUGCACACUUCCCUGUCCAAAUAGCCAAUCAGGAUCCAUUUAGGCAGCAGUGGCCUGGAACAGGAACUGACAGGCCUGGCAGAGGGGAUCUGCGCCACAUGUGAGCCAUGGAAGUCCUCAGCAGCGCUGGGUUGAAAUCCACACUGCGCUCUGCACAGACACUGCUGAUUACCACACUGCUGGUGCAGACGUGCAGGACAAGGUUGUCAGGUCUAAUUGACUAAUGGACAGAGAGUGAAGUCACCCCAGUGAUGAAGGUGAUGAAGAAAGUUUCAUUUCCUUCAGCCUUUGAUUAAUUUGUCAACACUGGUAUGCAGUCACAUUCAUCUUUUCCCCCCCUACAGUGAUAUUUUCUCUCUCAAAACAUCAAAUGAUUGGUUAUUUUUCCCUUUCUUGACAUAAAAUAAAUAUUUAUUUUAUAUAUAUAUAUAUAUAUAUAUAUAUAUAUAUAUAUAUAUAUAUUUGGGGGAUAUUCUUUAUGUUUUUAAAAUGGAAAUGGUGACCAGUACUCACAGAUAAGUGCACAUUAACAAAAACCAGUCCCUUCUGCGCAAGAUAAAUGCAUCGUUACUUGGCAACCAGCUCUGUUAUUUUGUUCUUCAUUAUUUUUAUUUAUCCUAUGUAAACCUCAGCCCUUGUACCAUGGCUCUGUCGCCGGAUCAUCUUUCAGGAGGCCUGCAAUUUCACUGUCCCGCCUCCACGCUCGGAUUAGUUUGGUUUAUACAAACGGGCUCUGGGCUUUGUGAAACCAUUCAGACCACAAUCAUUGUUGAGGCCCCAAUCAGAACUUCUAGCUCCGACUUCUCUCGCCUCUCUGUUUUUGCACUGGGACUAUUUCAAAAUAUAACAAUAUCAUGCAUUAUGCAAUUUUUUUUUAUUGCAAUUACAAUCACUUUAUGAUAGCGCUGACAGAAAUUGUCACUGUUUUGAUCUCAAAAUUAUAUUUGUCUAUACUUGAUUUCAAAUGUUUGAUGCCCAAUGUAGAAAAAUAUUAUUCCUUAUACACUGCUACUGAUAAUAUUACAGUUCCGCAGUUACUGCACCUGCCUGUUGUGAUUUGUUCAUUGUACAACAACAUAUGAUGCAUUUAAUAAAACUUAAAUUAAAAAAAAAAAA
This is a long non-coding RNA of Scophthalmus maximus (turbot), 1313 nucleotides long. RefSeq lists it as uncharacterized. Lineage: Eukaryota; Metazoa; Chordata; Actinopteri; Pleuronectiformes; Scophthalmidae. The transcript has 2 exons. The record is from RefSeq and is a predicted model, not a curated record.